GAUGAACGCUGGCGGCGUGCUUAAUACAUGCAAGUCGAACGGAAAGGCCCUGCUUUUGUGGGGUGCUCGUGUGGCGCACGGGUGAGUAACACGUGUGUAACCUGCCCUUGAAUUUGGGAUAACUUCAGGAAAAUGGGGCUAAUACCGGAUAGGAGCUCCUGCUGCAUGGUGGGGGAUGGAAAGUUUCGGCGGUUGGGGAUGGACUCGCGGCUUAUCGGCUGGUUGGUGGGGUAGUUGCUUACCAAGGGUUUGACGGGUAGCCGGCCUGAGAGGGGGACCGGGCACAUGGGGACUGAGAUACGGCCCAGACGGCUACGGGAGGCAGCAGUGGGGAAUAUUGCACAAUGGGCGGAAGCCUGAUGCAGCAACGCCGCGUGCGGGAUGACGGCCUUCGGGGUGUAAACAGCUUUCGCAGGUGACGAAGCGUGAGUGACGGUAAUGGGUAAAGAAGCACCGGCUAACUACGUG
Molecule: ribosomal RNA, 468 nt
Filed under: uncultured bacterium
Lineage: Bacteria
Description: partial 16S ribosomal RNA
Rfam family: Bacterial small subunit ribosomal RNA
Source: RNAcentral